UCAUUUACCUAGUGAUCGAAAGGAUUCAAAAUCCAUAAUUUUUAAUGGUUGAUAUCUGCCGUUUUCAAGUUUAACGGUGUAAAAGUAUUCAAAUCAGAUGAAAUUUUGAUACAAAAUUCUUUAUACUAUCUACAACAAGAUCAAUAUUUCUGAUCGAAAAUUUUAGUGCUAUAUCACCACUUUUUAUAGAAUUUUUAUUUUCAGCCGUUAAAAAUUAUUGAUUUUGAAUCCUUUCGAUUGCUAGGUAAAUGAUAUCGAAAAAUCACAAAAAUUAUUUUUUAGAAACUUCAAAUACGCUAGAUCAAGUUUAACGGAAUUGAUCGUCGGUUUGGAAACUCCAUCAUCGAAAACUGCUCAGGAGCACGGAGACCUCCGUGCUCCUGAGAGCACAGCAGCCCUGCUAUAUAUAUAUAUUGUAAGUGUUGAAUAUGAAAUUUGAUAAAUUAACAUUGUAUUUUUAUUUUAUUGUUUA
This 472-nucleotide long non-coding RNA is filed under the name Ananas comosus (pineapple). RNAcentral describes it as "long non-coding RNA (ACOM_LNC038198)". Lineage: Eukaryota; Viridiplantae; Streptophyta; Magnoliopsida; Poales; Bromeliaceae. The record is from RNAcentral.